UUUGGCUUCGUUUUAAUGCUAAACAUAGCAGCCUUACAAUCAAACGCCAAGGGAGUGUCUCGAUAAACCGUGCACUUAAUUGUUCAAGAGAAAUGGCAUGUAAUCAUUUAGAUUCCCUUGCUAAAGAACUAGUAGAUGUUGGUAUUAUGAUAAAU
This is a non-coding RNA of Hydra vulgaris (swiftwater hydra), 155 nucleotides long. NCBI's taxonomy places the organism in Eukaryota, Metazoa, Cnidaria, Hydrozoa, Anthoathecata, Hydridae. The record is from RefSeq and is a predicted model, not a curated record.